AGUGCAUUUUGGGCAUUUAUAAAUUGCAAAUAAUUGAGUAUGGGGAUAAGAAAAAUAGCUAUUACAGGGAUAGGUACAAGUAUGGGGAUAAGAAAAAUAGCGUUUAGAUGAAAAUUGGGUUGUUCCCGAGAAUAAGAAAAAUAUUAGAAAGUUUUAUAUAGAAAAUGGAGGUGUUGGUGGGGAUAACCGAGAACUACUAUUCUCGGGUAAAAAAUUAGCGUUUGGAUAUAAAGGAGGGGAUAAGGACCUAUCCCUAUUCCUAUUCCCAAACCAAACGGUGCUAGUGUUUUUGAUUGUUUUUUUAAAAUUUUUAUAGGU
This 318-nucleotide long non-coding RNA is filed under the name Ananas comosus (pineapple). RNAcentral's name for it is "long non-coding RNA (ACOM_LNC032288)". Lineage: Eukaryota; Viridiplantae; Streptophyta; Magnoliopsida; Poales; Bromeliaceae. The record is from RNAcentral.